GCAAUAGCUCUCUCUCCUCUCUCAGUGUCUCUCACACUGAUCUAGCAAUCUCCUAAACCAAUCUGACAUCAUCUCCUCCUACCCACGACAAUUCCAACGAGCAGCAACACUGUUGUCGUCAACCUUAUCCCGGUCAUGACCCAACGAUAACUACCAUUAGUUGGUUCUUUAGCAGAGAUAACCUCACAUUCUUUUCUUCUCUUUUAGACACUAGCCCACACAUGCCAACCAUCGGUAACAACCUCCCCAUCCAAAAAUUAGCAACAUAAUCUCGUAGCUCCAAAACUAUCACCGACCAACGCCUUCUCCUCCUAAACCACAAUGCAAGGCACUCUUCAUGGCAGAUCCACAAUAACCCAACAAUAACAAUCAGAAAAGAGAAGAAGAAAUUACAGUAGAGAAAGAGAGAGGCAGAUCUUAAAAAAAUAAAAAUAAAUAAAAACUACUAUCUUGUGUUGAUUUCUUUGUCUUGCAGGGAGUGGUGAUACUCACCGCCAGUAGGGAAAGGAAGAGGUGAAAGAGUCGCUUCAAAGCCACCAAUUUUUGCUCUUCAAUUAAUGACGACAUGUUGUUCCAUGCACCCACAGUGACGAUGGUGUGAGGAACCCCCAAGCUGCCAAUACUCCCUCAUGUCUAGUGCAUUCCUAUAACUUCUGACAUUUUUUUGUUCAGAAGGUGUUUUGCAAAUUUUGGAUGA
RNAcentral lists this long non-coding RNA (697 nucleotides) under Populus trichocarpa (black cottonwood). Its description in RNAcentral is "long non-coding RNA (PTRI_LNC001783)". Lineage: Eukaryota; Viridiplantae; Streptophyta; Magnoliopsida; Malpighiales; Salicaceae. The record is from RNAcentral.